UACGAACGCUGGCGGCGUGCUUAACACAUGCAAGUCGAACGGAAAGGCCCUGCUUUUGUGGGGUGCUCGAGUGGCGAACGGGUGAGUAACACGUGAGUAACCUGCCCUUGACUUUGGGAUAACUUCAGGAAACUGGGGCUAAUACCGGAUAGGAGCUCCUGCUGCAUGGUGGGGGUUGGAAAGUUUCGGCGGUUGGGGAUGGACUCGCGGCUUAUCAGCUUGUUGGUGGGGUAGUGGCUUACCAAGGCUUUGACGGGUAGCCGGCCUGAGAGGGUGACCGGCCACAUUGGGACUGAGAUACGGCCCAGACCCCUACGGGAGGCAGCAGUGGGGAAUAUUGCACAAUGGGCGGAAGCCUGAUGCAGCAACGCCGCGUGCGGGAUGACGGCCUUCGGGUUGUAAACCGCUUUCGCCUGUGACGAAGCGUGAGUGACGGUAAUGGGUAAAGAAGCACCGGCUAACUACGUGCCAGCAGCCGCGGUGAUACGUAGGGUGCGAGCGUUGUCCGGAUUUAUUGGGCGUAAAGGGCUCGUAGGUGGUUGAUCGCGUCGGAAGUGUAAUCUUGGGGCUUAACCCUGAGCGUGCUUUCGAUACGGGUUGACUUGAGGAAGGUAGGGGAGAAUGGAAUUCCUGGUGGAGCGGUGGAAUGCGCAGAUAUCAGGAGGAACACCAGUGGCGAAGGCGGUUCUCUGGGCCUUUCCUGACGCUGAGGAGCGAAAGCGUGGGGAGCGAACAGGCUUAGAUACCCUGGUAGUCCACGCUGUAAACGGUGGGUACUAGGUGUGGGGUCCAUUCCACGGGUUCCGUGCCGUAGCUAACGCUUUAAGUACCCCGCCUGGGGAGUACGGCCGCAAGGCUAAAACUCAAAGGAAUUGACGGGGCCCCGCACAAGCGGCGGAGCAUGCGGAUUAAUUCGAUGCAACGCGUAGAACCUUACCUGGGUUUGACAUGGAUCGGGAGUGCUCAGAGAUGGGUGUGCCUCUUUUGGGGUCGGUUCACAGGUGGUGCAUGGCUGUCGUCAGCUCGUGUCGUGAGAUGUUGGGUUAAGUCCCGCAACGAGCGCAACCCUUGUUCACUGUUGCCAGCACGUUAUGGUGGGGACUCAGUGGAGACCGCCGGGGUCAACUCGGAGGAAGGUGGGGAUGACGUCAAGUCAUCAUGCCCCUUAUGUCCAGGGCUUCACGCAUGCUACAAUGGCUGGUACAGAGAGUGGCGAGCCUGUGAGGGUGAGCGAAUCUCGGAAAGCCGGUCUCAGUUCGGAUUGGGGUCUGCAACUCGACCUCAUGAAGUCGGAGUCGCUAGUAAUCGCAGAUCAGCAACGCUGCGGUGAAUACGUUCCCGGGGCUUGUACACACCGCCCGUCAAGUCAUGAAAGUUGGUAACACCCGAAGCCGGUGGCCUAACCGUUGUGGGGGAGCCGUCGAAGGUG
RNAcentral lists this ribosomal RNA (1429 nucleotides) under uncultured organism. RNAcentral's name for it is "partial small subunit ribosomal RNA". It matches the Rfam family "Bacterial small subunit ribosomal RNA". The record is from RNAcentral.